Molecule: long non-coding RNA, 378 nt
Filed under: Panicum hallii
Lineage: Eukaryota; Viridiplantae; Streptophyta; Magnoliopsida; Poales; Poaceae
Description: long non-coding RNA (PHAL_LNC000162)
Source: RNAcentral
UUUGAUGGGCCUUCUAUCCAACUUUAGGCCCACUAGUCUCCAGUUUUCCUUUUCUUUUAGAGAUAUAAUUGAUGUGUAUAGCAAGGUAUAUGUAAUUAUGUAUAUGUACAACACCGCCUAGAAAACCGCCUAGAAACGCCUAGGCUCGCCUAAGCUCUAGGCGAUGGGUCACCGCCUAGAGACCGCCUAGCGCCUUGUCAAACACUUGUUCAGAUUUGGUUGUAGUAUCAGUUCAUACAGAAUAUAAAAUAUGUUAGAAUGAUUUGGCCCAAAAAUUUCAGAUAAUCCCUCCAUCUGAUUUUUGGAUCAUGCUUAUCUGGGCAUCAACUAUGAAAAUCAGCUGUUGUGACAGAGAACAAGCAAAUGGCAAAAAAAAAA